GACGAACGCUGGCGGCGUGCUUAACACAUGCAAGUCGAACGGAAAGGCCCUGCUUUUGUGGGGUGCUCGAGUGGCGAACGGGUGAGUAACACGUGAGUAACCUGCCCUUGACUUUGGGAUAACUUCAGGAAACUGGGGCUAAUACCGGAUAGGAGCUCCUGCUGCAUGGUGGGGGUUGGAAAGUUUCGGCGGUUGGGGAUGGACUCGCGGCUUAUCAGCUUGUUGGUGGGGUAGUGGCUUACCAAGGCUUUGACGGGUAGCCGGCCUGAGAGGGUGACCGGCCACCUUGGGACUGAGAGACGGACCAGACUCCUACGGGAGGCAGCAGUGGGGAAUAUUGCACAAUGGGCGGAAGCGUGAUGCAGAAACGCCGCGUGCGGGAUGCCGGCCUUCGGGUUGUAAACCGCUUUCGCAUGUGCCGAAGCGUGAGUGACGGUAAUGGGUAAAGAAGCACCGGCUAACUACGUG
Molecule: ribosomal RNA, 468 nt
Filed under: uncultured bacterium
Lineage: Bacteria
Description: partial 16S ribosomal RNA
Rfam family: Bacterial small subunit ribosomal RNA
Source: RNAcentral